GGUGACAGCGGAGGGAUCAUUACAGAGUUACCCAACUCCCAAACCAUUGUGAACGUUACCUCUCCCGUUGCUUCGGCGGGCGGGCCGGCCCCAGGGCCGCGCCCCCCCCGGCCCCUCGCGGGGCGCCCGCCGGAGGAAACCCAACUCUUGAUUAUCAUGGCCUCUCUGAGUCUUCUGUACUGAAUAAGUCAAAACUUUCAACAACGGAUCUCUUGGUUCUGGCAUCGAUGAAGAACGCAGCGAAAUGCGAUAAGUAAUGUGAAUUGCAGAAUUCAGUGAAUCAUCGAAUCUUUGAACGCACAUUGCGCCCGCCAGUAUUCUGGCGGGCAUGCCUGUUCGAGCGUCAUUUCAACCAUCAAGCCCCGUGCUUGUGUUGGGGACCUGCGGCUGCCGCAGGCCCUGAAAACCAGUGGCGGGCUCGCUGUCACACCGGGCGUAGUAAUUACAUCUCGCUCAGGGCGUGCUGCGGGUUCCGGCCGUAAACAGCCUUAUUUACCCAAGGUUGACCUCGGAUCAGGUAGGAAGACCCGCUGAACUUAAGCAUAU
This 546-nucleotide ribosomal RNA is filed under the name Chaetomium sp. RNAcentral describes it as "eukaryotic LSU rRNA". The stretch from base 193 to 346 matches the Rfam family "5.8S ribosomal RNA". Lineage: Eukaryota; Fungi; Ascomycota; Sordariomycetes; Sordariales; Chaetomiaceae. The record is from RNAcentral.